GUCUCUGUAGUAUAUCACAUUACCCUGGUCUUGUAAACCAGAAAAGAGGAACAACACUCCUCCAUAGACUC
Molecule: transfer RNA, 71 nt
Filed under: Rhinolophus blasii (Blasius's horseshoe bat)
Lineage: Eukaryota; Metazoa; Chordata; Mammalia; Chiroptera; Rhinolophidae
Description: tRNA-Thr
Source: RNAcentral